RNAcentral lists this ribosomal RNA (1258 nucleotides) under Myzus persicae (green peach aphid). RNAcentral's name for it is "16S ribosomal RNA". Lineage: Eukaryota; Metazoa; Arthropoda; Insecta; Hemiptera; Aphididae. The record is from RNAcentral.
AUUAAAAUUAUUAAUAUUUUUAUUUUUUUUUGAUUUUUUAUAAAAGUAAUUUAUUUAUUUAGAGUUUUAGUAUUUAGUAAAAAUUAAUUUAUAGAUUUAUAGUUUAAUAGUAUUGUAAAAGAAUUAAUUAAAUUUUUAAAAGAAUAUUUUUAGUACCUUUUGUAUCAGGGUUGAUUAAAAUUUUUAAUUUUUUUUUAAUUUCUCAAAAUUUAUAGAGUUAAUUUUAUUAUUAAUUUAUUGUGUUAUAAAUAUUUAAAAAAUAAUAUUAGUUUUGAAAUUUAAUUCGUUAUAUUAUAUUUAGUUAUUUAAGAUUUAAAUUUAAUUUAAAAUUUUAAAAGUUAUAUUGAUUUUUUAUAUUAAUAUUUUAAAUUUAAAUUAUUUUAGGGAUAAGCUUGAAAUUUUUAUAUAAUAAUUUAUUUAUUUUAAUAAUUUAUAGGAAUAGAAAUUUUUAUUUAAGUUUGUAAAAAUUUAUUAUUUAUUUAUUUUUAAUUUAUUAUAAAUUUAUUUAUUUUUUAUAUUAAAUUUUAUUAAUUAAUAUUUAAUUAAUAGUAAUAAUGAUUAAAUUAGUAUAAUUUUUAUUUAUAAAUUAUGAAUUCGGCAAAAAUUAUUUUCAUCUGUUUAACAAAAACAUUGUAUUAAGUUUAAUUUAAUAUAGGAUCUGCUCAAUGAUUUAUUAAAUAGCUGCAGUAUUUUGACUGUGCAAAGGUAGCAUAAUAAUUAGUCUUUUAAUUGAGGACUUGUAUGAAAGAUUUGAUGAGAAAUAAACUUUAUUAUUUAUAUAAUUAAAAUUUUAUUUUUAAGUAAAAAAGCUUAAAUUAUUUAAAGGGACGAUAAGACCCUAUAAAACUUUAUAAAUAUUAAUUUUGAUUUUUUUGGAUUUAUAAAUAUUUUAAUUUUAUUAUUUAUUUUAUUGGGGUGAUAAAAAAAAUUAUUAAACUUUUUUUAAAAUUUUACAUUAUUUAAUGAGUAUUUGAAUUAAAAUUUUUAAUUAAAGGAAAAAGUUACUUUAGGGAUAACAGCGUAAUUAAUUUUUUAAGUUCAAAUUUAAAAAUUAGUUUGCGACCUCGAUGUUGAAUUAAGAUUAAUCUUAGGUGCAAAAUUUUAAGUAUUAGGUCUGUUCGACCUUUAAAUUCUUACAUGAUUUGAGUUCAAACCGGUGUAAGCCAGGUUGGUUUCUAUCUUUUAAAAAAUAAAUUAUUUUAGUACGAAAGGAUUAAAUAAUUGAAUUAAAUUUUUAUUAAAUGAAUUAAAUUAAUUU